This 489-nucleotide ribosomal RNA is filed under the name uncultured bacterium. RNAcentral describes it as "bacterial SSU rRNA". It matches the Rfam family "Bacterial small subunit ribosomal RNA", at positions 30 to 507 of the family's 1533-position model. The record is from RNAcentral.
UGAACGCUAGCUACAGGCUUAACACAUGCAAGUCGAGGGGCAGCAUGGUCUUAGCUUGCUAAGGCCGAUGGCGACCGGCGCACGGGUGAGUAACACGUAUCCAACCUGCCGUCUACUCUUGGACAGCCUUCUGAAAAGGAAGAUUAAUACAAGAUGGCAUCAUGAGUCCGCAUGUUCACAUGAUUAAAGGUAUUUAUCGGUGAUGGAUGGGGAUGCGUCUGAUUAGCUUGUUGGCGGGGUAACGGCCCACCAAGGCGACGAUCAGUAGGGGUUCUGAGAGGAAGGUCCCCCACAUUGGAACUGAGACACGGUCCAAACUCCUACGGGAGGCAGCAGUGAGGAAUAUUGGUCAAUGGACGAGAGUCUGAACCAGCCAAGUAGCGUGCAGGAUGACGGCCCUAUGGGUUGUAAACUGCUUUAUAAGGGAAUAAAGUGAGUCUCGUGAGACUUUUGCAUGUACCUUAUGAAUAAGGACCGGCUAAUUCCGUG